GAUUGAACGCUGGCGGCAUGCCUUACACAUGCAAGUCGAACGGCAGCACGGGAGCAAUCCUGGUGGCGAGUGGCGAACGGGUGAGUAAUACAUCGGAACGUGCCCAGUAGUGGGGAGUAACCGCGAAGACGGACUAAUACGCAUACGACCUACGGUGGAAGACGGGGAGUCGCAAGACCUCGCGCUAUCGGAGCGGCCGAUGUCAGAUUAG
This 211-nucleotide ribosomal RNA is filed under the name uncultured bacterium. RNAcentral describes it as "partial 16S ribosomal RNA". It matches the Rfam family "Bacterial small subunit ribosomal RNA", at positions 27 to 244 of the family's 1533-position model. The record is from RNAcentral.